GCGGCGGACGGGUGAGUAACACGUGGGUAACCUGCCUGUAAGACUGGGAUAACUCCGGGAAACCGGGGCUAAUACCGGGUGCUUGAUUGAGCCGCAUGGUUCAAUUAUAAAAGGUGGCUUUCAGCUACCACUUACAGAUGGACCCGCGGCGCAUUAGCUAGUUGGUGAGGUAACGGCUCACCAAGGCGACGAUGCGUAGCCGACCUGAGAGGGUGAUCGGCCACACUGGGACUGAGACACGGCCCAGACUCCUACGGGAGGCAGCAGUAGGGAAUCUUCCGCAAUGGACGAAAGUCUGACGGAGCAACGCCGCGUGAGUGAUGAAGGUUUUCGGAUCGUAAAACUCUGUUGUUAGGGAAGAACAAGUACCGUUCGAAUAGGGCGGCACCUUGACGGUACCUAACCAGAAAGCCACGGCUAACUACGUGCCAGCAGCCGCGGUAAUACGUAGGUGGCAAGCGUUGUCCGGAAUUAUUGGGCGUAAAGCGCGCGCAGGCGGUUUCUUAAGUCUGAUGUGAAAGUCCCCGGCUCAACCGGGGAGGGUCAUUGGAAACUGGGGAACUUGAGUGCAGAAGAGGAGAGUGGAAUUCCACGUGUAGCGGUGAAAUGCGUAGAGAUGUGGAGGAACACCAGUGGCGAAGGCGACUCUCUGGU
This 654-nucleotide ribosomal RNA is filed under the name uncultured Bacilli bacterium. RNAcentral describes it as "bacterial SSU rRNA". It matches the Rfam family "Bacterial small subunit ribosomal RNA", at positions 95 to 733 of the family's 1533-position model. The record is from RNAcentral. Lineage: Bacteria; Bacillati; Bacillota; Bacilli.